CAUCCCCAUGAUGAUUUUUUUGUUAAUAUUAAAGUAGUGGACUGAAUCUUCUUGUGGAGAAACAAAAUCUGAGGGAUG
Non-coding RNA from Lupinus angustifolius (narrow-leaved blue lupine), 78 nucleotides. The record is from Rfam. NCBI's taxonomy places the organism in Eukaryota, Viridiplantae, Streptophyta, Magnoliopsida, Fabales, Fabaceae.